GAUGAACGCUGGCGGCGUGCUUAAUACAUGCGAGUCGAGCGAACAGACGAGGAGCUUGCUCCUUUGCCGUUAGCGGCGGGCGGGUGAGUAACACGUGGAUAACCUACCUAAAAGACUGGGAUAACUUCGGGAAACCGGAGCUAAUACCGGAUAAUAUCUAGAACCGCAUGGGGGGGUCGUUAGAGACGGUUUUGCUGUCACUUGUCGAUGUAUCCGCGCCGCAUUGGCUAGUUGGUAGGGUACCGGCUUACCAAGGCGACGAUGCGUAGCCGAACUGAGAGGAGGAUCGGCCACACGGGAACGGAGACACGGACCAGACUCCUACGGGAGGCAGCAGAAGGGAAUCUUCCGCAAUGGGCGAAAGCCUGACGGAGCAACGCCGCGUGUGUGAUGAAGGCCUUCGGAUCGUAAAACUCUGUUAGUGGGGAAGAACAAAUGUGUAAGGAAACAUGCACGUCUUGACGGUACCUGAUCAAGAAGCCCCGGCUAACUACGUG
RNAcentral lists this ribosomal RNA (497 nucleotides) under uncultured bacterium. RNAcentral describes it as "partial 16S ribosomal RNA". It matches the Rfam family "Bacterial small subunit ribosomal RNA", at positions 28 to 507 of the family's 1533-position model. The record is from RNAcentral.